CAGGGCCUUGUGUUCCAGUGACAGGUACUGAGCCAGAACCCCUAUAGUUCUGCAGGGCCUUGUGUUCCAGUGACAGGUACUGAGCCAGAACCCCUAUAGUUCUGCAGGGCCUUGUGUUCCAGUGACAGGUACUGAGCCAGAACCCCUAUAGUUCUGCAGGGCCUUGUGUUCCAGUGACAGGUACUGAACCAGAACCCCUAUAGUUCUGCAGGGCCUUGUGUUCCAGUGACAGGUACUGAGCCAGAACCCCUAUAGUUCUGCAGGGCCUUGUGUUCCAGUGACAGGUACUGAGCCAGAACCCCUAUAGUUCUGCAGGGCCUUGUGUUCCAGUGACAGGUACUGAACC
Oncorhynchus keta (chum salmon) is the source of this 346-nucleotide long non-coding RNA. RefSeq lists it as uncharacterized. The transcript is spliced from 3 exons. Lineage: Eukaryota; Metazoa; Chordata; Actinopteri; Salmoniformes; Salmonidae. The record is from RefSeq and is a predicted model, not a curated record.